UGGGGAAUUUUGGACAAUGGGCGAAAGCCUGAUCCAGCAAUGCCGCGUGUGUGAAGAAGGCCUUCGGGUUGUAAAGCACUUUUGUCCGGAAAGAAAUCCUUGGCUCUAAUACAGUCGGGGGAUGACGGUACCGGAAGAAUAAGCACCGGCUAACUACGUGCCAGCAGCCGCGGUAAUACGUAGGGUGCAAGCGUUAAUCGGAAUUACUGGGCGUAAAGCGUGCGCAGGCGGUUUGCUAAGACCGAUGUGAAAUCCCCGGGCUCAACCUGGGAACUGCAUUGGUGACUGGCAGGCUAGAGUAUGGCAGAGGGGGGUAGAAUUCCACGUGUAGCAGUGAAAUGCGUAGAGAUGUGGAGGAAUACCGAUGGCGAAGGCAGCCCCCUGGGCCAAAUACUGACGCUCAUGCACGAAAGCGUGGGGAGCAAAACAGGAUUAGAUACCCUGGUAGUCCACGCCCUAAAACGAUGUCAACUAGUUGUUGGGGAUUCAUUUCCUUAGUAACGUAGCUAACGCGUGAAGUUGACCGCCUGGGGAGUACGGUCGCAAGAUUAAAACUUAAAGGAAUUGACGGGGUCAUA
Molecule: ribosomal RNA, 578 nt
Filed under: uncultured bacterium
Lineage: Bacteria
Description: partial 16S ribosomal RNA
Rfam family: Bacterial small subunit ribosomal RNA
Source: RNAcentral